This 449-nucleotide ribosomal RNA is filed under the name uncultured bacterium. Its description in RNAcentral is "partial 16S ribosomal RNA". It matches the Rfam family "Bacterial small subunit ribosomal RNA", at positions 29 to 523 of the family's 1533-position model. The record is from RNAcentral.
AACGAACGCUGGCGGCAGGCUUAACACAUGCAAGUCGAGCGCCCUAGCAAUAGGGAGCAGCGCACGGGUGAGUAACGCGUGGGAACGUACCAUUUAGUGGGGGAUAACUUCGGGAAACUGAAGCUAAUACCGCAUACGCCCGAGAGGGGAAAGAUUUACCGCUAAAUGAUCGGCCCGCGUGAGAUUAGGUAGUUGGUGGGGUAAUGGCCUACCAAGCCUACGAUCUCUAGCUGGUCUGAGAGGAUGAUCAGCCACACUGGAACUGAGACACGGUCCAGACUCCUACGGGAGGCAGCAGUGGGGAAUAUUGGACAAUGGGGGAAACCCUGAUCCAGCCAUGCCGCGUGAAUGAUGAAGGCUUUAGGGUUGUAAAGUUCUUUCACCGAUGAAGAUAAUGACGGUAGUCGGAGAAGAAGCCCCGGCUAACUUCGUGCCAGCCGCCGCAGUAA